This 762-nucleotide long non-coding RNA is filed under the name Vitis vinifera (wine grape). Its description in RNAcentral is "long non-coding RNA (VVIN_LNC007044)". The record is from RNAcentral. Lineage: Eukaryota; Viridiplantae; Streptophyta; Magnoliopsida; Vitales; Vitaceae.
GGUAAGUGUGAAAUAAGAUCAUUUAAUUUAUCAUAAUAUGAAGCUUUUAUUAAGUUUACUAAAAAUAUUUUCACAAAAUCUUGGUUUGGAUUUUAUAUUUAAAUUGAGUCAAUACAACUUUAGUUUAAUUUGGAAUUUUUUGGACCAAGUAUACAUUUAUUUAAGUUAAAUUAUAAGGAAAAAGAUUUCAAACCUUCGAGCCAAGUAAUUAAAUUUUUCUCAAGCUUCAUAGUGGAUGAAGGUUCAAACCAAAAACGCUCCAAUGGUCAAAUCUAUCACUCAAAUUAGGUAUAUAAAAAUAACUUCAAAACAUUGAUAAACCAUUUAGAGAAAAUACAACGAUAAUAAAUUAACAUAAGGUUGUAUGGUAUAAUAUUAAGAAAAACCACUGUUUUAAUAACCGGACCGGUCGGUCCAAUCGUCGACUAGUCACAUUUUCGGUCCGGUUUACUCUAUUAAACCGUUUGAGUAUUAGAUCGGUCAUGAACCAACUAAACCAACGGUCGGACCGGUGACCUGGUGGAACCGGACGAUUCGCUGGGCCUUGUCUUAUUAUGACAAAGCCCACACCCACCCCAACCAUUUUGUGGGCCGAGUCUUGAGCCCACAAGAUGGGGUGAUGCCUUUGUCCUCAAUGAGGAUAGCUUUGUGGGAUUGCUAAAUCCACCCAAGAGGAUUUGAACCUUGGACCUCAAGUUCUAUAACCAACCUAGGACACCACUCAGCUACACGCCUUUUGUUAUCUAAUAUGCCAAACAAAAC